Molecule: long non-coding RNA, 878 nt
Organism: Spinacia oleracea (spinach)
Lineage: Eukaryota; Viridiplantae; Streptophyta; Magnoliopsida; Caryophyllales; Amaranthaceae
Exons: 2
Source: RefSeq, a predicted model, not a curated record
UACAAGUAUAUAAAAAAUGUUUGAUGUUGCGUGAAAAGACAAGGUAUCUUUACAUAUCUUUUUCUACUAUAUAUAUUCCUUUGAGUAUAUGCAUUAUUUCUUGCAAAACAUAACCAAAAAUCACCAUUCGUAUACUAAUCCAACGUCAAUUACAUCAAAAUCUUUGCAAAAAUGGUAAUCAAGUCCACCAAUUGUCUCCAAAAAAUUGCCACUCUUAUGAUAAUCUGUGUGGUUGUUCUGUCCUCCACAAUACCAUCCGAAGCGCGAAGCUGUAAACCAGCCCAACCUCCCCCUCCUCCUCCUCCUAGGCCUACUAUAUGUCCAGCUUGUGUGUGCUGCACACCGGCACCCGCCGGUGUUUGCUGCGGUUGCUGUGCUUUUCCUGUUGAAGACUCGCCGCCUCCCCCGCCAUUUGUGAUCGCUCCAUGAAAGAAAUAGAUUUUAUAUUAAUUCGUAUACUCUUUAUAAGUUAUUUUGUACUCCGUACGUCUUUAAUUUCGAAUGUGUACAUACUUUUGUACUCCGUACGUCUUUAAUUUCGAAUGUGUACGUGUAUGUACUAUGUAUGUGUGUAUGGCUACUGUAUGCAUAUACGUGUUUAAUGUCGUUGGUAAAAUCUAAAAUGUUCAACCAAAAGUACGUAAGUAAUGACACGUUUUUUGGUUGCAACUUUAAUUGGAUUUUAAUCGCACUUGAUUUUUCAAUGUCAAAAUAAUUUCGCAACAUGCAAUAUUUAAGCCGUGUUACAAUGAUGACAUGACGGACUAUUUAUGUGUCAUGUUACAAAAAAAUGGUAGGAAAAUCUUAAUAUUCUAAUUUACAAAUUGAAUAAUAUAAUUUUUUAUUUCAAAAUAAAUAUUUAUGAUUUGUAUACGAAA